GACGAACGCUGGCGGCGUGCCUAAUACAUGCAAGUUGAGCGCUGAAGUUUUGUACUUGUACCGACUGGAUGAGCCGCGAACGUGUGAGUAACGCGUGUGGAAUCUGCCUUUGAGCGGGGGACAACAUUUGGAAACGAAUGCUAAUACCGCAUAAAAACUUUAAACACAAGUUUUAUGUUUGAAAGAUGCAAUUGCAUCACUCAAUGAUGAUCCCGCGUUGUAUUAGCUAGUUGGUGAGGUAAAGGCUCACCAAGGCGAUGAUACCUAGCCGACCUGAGCGGGUGGGCGGCCAGAUUGGGACUGAGACACGGCCCAAACGGCUACAGGAGGCAGCAGUAGGGAAUCGGCAGCAAUGGGCGGGAGUCUGAGCGAGCAGCGCGGCGUGAGUGAGGAAGAUUGUCGGGCCGGAGAACUCUGUUGGUGGGGAAGAAAGUUGGUGAGAGUGGAAAGCUCAUCAAGUGACGGUAACUACCCAGGAAGGAACGGCUAACUACGUG
This 497-nucleotide ribosomal RNA is filed under the name uncultured bacterium. RNAcentral describes it as "partial 16S ribosomal RNA". It matches the Rfam family "Bacterial small subunit ribosomal RNA", at positions 28 to 507 of the family's 1533-position model. The record is from RNAcentral.